AUUGAACGCUGGCGGCAGGCCUAACACAUGCAAGUCGAACGAGUGGCGGACGGGUGAGUUAUGUCUGUGAAACUGCCUGAUGGAGGGGGAUAACUACCGGAAACGGUAGCUACUACCGCAUACCAUCAGAUGUGCCCAGGUGGGUUUAGCUUGUUGGUGGGGUAACGGCUCACCAAGGCGACGAUCCCUAGCUGGUCUGAGAGGAGUACCAGCCACACUGGAACUGAGACACGGUCCAGACUCCUACGGGAGGCAGCAGUGGGGAAUAUUGGACAAUGGGCGAAAGCCUGAUGCAGCCAUGCCGCGUGUGUGAAGAAGGCCUUCGGGUUGUAAAGUACUUUAAGCGGGGAGGCGUUACCCGCAGAAGAAGCACCGGCUAACUCCGUGCCAGCAGCCGCGGUAAUAC
This 406-nucleotide ribosomal RNA is filed under the name uncultured bacterium. RNAcentral's name for it is "partial 16S ribosomal RNA". It matches the Rfam family "Bacterial small subunit ribosomal RNA", at positions 30 to 526 of the family's 1533-position model. The record is from RNAcentral.